This 371-nucleotide transfer-messenger RNA is filed under the name Portibacter lacus. Its description in RNAcentral is "Standard tmRNA". It matches the Rfam family "transfer-messenger RNA". Rfam says of the family: Bacterial tmRNA, also known as 10Sa RNA or SsrA, is named for its dual tRNA and mRNA-like properties. Its role is to liberate the mRNA from a stalled ribosome. Lineage: Bacteria; Pseudomonadati; Bacteroidota; Saprospiria; Saprospirales; Haliscomenobacteraceae. The record is from Rfam by way of RNAcentral.
GGGGCUGAAUGGUAUCGACAGGAAGGUUGAUCAGUUAGUAAGCAUGCAGGGGAAAGAUUGUUCACUCCUUAAAAAUGACAAUCAAACCAUAAUUGGCGAAAAUAGAUUCGCAUUAGCGGCAUAAUCUAGGAUUAUAAAGCUUUUUGGGGACUACGUUUGAUGUCUGAUACACAACGUACAUUCCCCAUCAAACCGAAUUCAGGCUAGGAGUUAGUUUCGCUUUGGAUUAAUUCCGAAAUUAAAGAAGAUAAGCUGAGGGCAAGGUUGCUUGUACAUCUACCCGAGGAUUAAAAUUAAAGUAUAAGCUAAGCAUGUAGAAGGCUCUCUGAGGCUUUGUCUGGACCUGGGUUCGAAUCCCAGCAGCUCCACCA